UACGUAGGGGGCUAGCGUUGUCCGGAUUCAUUGGGCGUAAAGCGCGUGUAGGCGGCCAGGUAGGUCCGAUGUGAAAACUGGAGGCUCAACCUCCAGCUGUCAUUGGAAACCAUCUGGCUAGAGUCCGGAAGAGGAGAGUGGGAUUCCUGGUGUAGCGGUGAAAUGCGCAGAUAUCAGGAAGAACACCAGUGGCGAAGGCGACUACCUGGCCUGUUCUUGACGCUGAGGCGCGAAAGCUAGGGGAGCAAACGGG
This 253-nucleotide ribosomal RNA is filed under the name uncultured bacterium. RNAcentral describes it as "partial 16S ribosomal RNA". It matches the Rfam family "Bacterial small subunit ribosomal RNA", at positions 524 to 776 of the family's 1533-position model. The record is from RNAcentral.